GUGAAUCAUCGAAUUUUUGAACGCAAAUUGCACUCUCCGGUUUUCCGGGAGAGUAUGCCUGUUUGAGGGUCAGCCUAAAAAAAAUCGACCUUGUUGCUGUUAUUUGAUGGUGACUUUCGUCGGAGAUUGGGUUAUCUUUAACCUUUUUUUUUUUUUUGGUUUUAGCGGAUUAAAGUUUUUCUUAGCUUUUCCGUGAACG
This 199-nucleotide unclassified non-coding RNA is filed under the name Glomeraceae sp. Its description in RNAcentral is "partial contains 5.8S ribosomal RNA and internal transcribed spacer 2". The stretch from base 1 to 72 matches the Rfam family "5.8S ribosomal RNA", at positions 84 to 154 of the family's 154-position model. Lineage: Eukaryota; Fungi; Glomeromycota; Glomeromycetes; Glomerales; Glomeraceae. The record is from RNAcentral.